UUUCCGUAGGUGAACCUGCGGAAGGAUCAUUACAUUCAGUAGCCUAGCUACUUGUUUACACCCUUGUUUUUUUGCGCACUUCACUGUAUCCCUCGGCGGGCUUGCCUGCCGGUUGGACAACUUUAUAACCUUUUUAAAUCUUCAAUCAGCGUCUGAACAAUAUACAAUAAUUACAACUUUCAACAACGGAUCUCUUGGUUCUGGCAUCGAUGAAGAACGCAGC
RNAcentral lists this unclassified non-coding RNA (223 nucleotides) under uncultured fungus. RNAcentral describes it as "sequence contains ITS1, 5.8S rRNA gene". The stretch from base 175 to 223 matches the Rfam family "5.8S ribosomal RNA", at positions 1 to 49 of the family's 154-position model. Lineage: Eukaryota; Fungi. The record is from RNAcentral.